AACGAACGCUGGCGGCAGGCUUAACACAUGCAAGUCGAACGGUUGCAGCAAUGCAGCAGUGGCAGACGGGUGAGUAACACGUGGGAACCUUCCUAGGGGUACGGAACAACUCAGGGAAACUUGAGCUAAUACCGUAUACGUCCGUGAGGAGAAAGAUUUAUCGCCCUUAGACGGGCCCGCGUCGGAUUAGCUAGUUGGUGGGGUAACGGCCUACCAAGGCGACGAUCCGUAGCUGAUCUUAGAGGAUGAUCAGCCACACUGGGACUGAGACACGGCCCAGACUCCUACGGGAGGCAGCAGUGGGGAAUCUUGGACAAUGGGCGCAAGCCUGAUCCAGCCAUGCCGCGUGAGUGAAGAAGGUCUUCGGAUUGUAAAGCUCUUUUGCCAGGGACGAUAAUGACGGUACCUGGAGAAUAAGCCCCGGCAAACUUCGUGCCAGCCGCCGCCGUAA
This 451-nucleotide ribosomal RNA is filed under the name uncultured bacterium. RNAcentral's name for it is "partial 16S ribosomal RNA". It matches the Rfam family "Bacterial small subunit ribosomal RNA", at positions 29 to 523 of the family's 1533-position model. The record is from RNAcentral.